GACGAACGCUGGCGGCGUGCUUAACACAUGCAAGUCGAACGGAAAGGCCCUGCUUUUGUGGGGUGCUCGAGUGGCGAACGGGUGAGUAACACGUGAGUAACCUGCCCUUGACUUUGGGAUAACUUCAGGAAACUGGGGCUAAUACCGGAUAGGAGCUCCUGCUGCAUGGUGGGGGUUGGAAAGUUUCGGCGGUUGGGGAUGGACUCGCGGCUUAUCAGCUUGUUGGUGGGGUAGUGGCUUACCAAGGCUUUGACGGGUAGCCGGCCUGAGAGGGUGACCGGCCACAUUGGGACUGAGAUACGGCCCAGACCCCUACGGGAGGCAGCAGUGGGGAAUAUUGCACAAUGGGCGGAAGCCUGAUGCAGCAACGCCGCGUGCGGGAUGACGGCCUUCGGGUUGUAAACCGCCUUCGCCUGUGACGAAGCGUGAGUGACGGUAAUGGGUAAAGAAGCACCGGCUAACUACGUG
Molecule: ribosomal RNA, 468 nt
Filed under: uncultured bacterium
Lineage: Bacteria
Description: partial 16S ribosomal RNA
Rfam family: Bacterial small subunit ribosomal RNA
Source: RNAcentral